UACGGAGGGUGCAAGCGUUAUCCGGAUUCACUGGGUUUAAAGGGUGCGUAGGAGGGCAGGUAAGUCAGUGGUGAAAUCUCCGAGCUUAACUCGGAAACUGCCGUUGAUACUAUCUGUCUUGAAUCCCGUGGAGAUGAGCGGAAUAUGUCAUGUAGCGGUGAAAUGCUUAGAUAUGACAUAGAACACCAAUUGCGAAGGCAGCGCGUUACACGAAGAUUGACUCUGAGGCACGAAAGCGUGGGGAUCAAACAGG
Molecule: ribosomal RNA, 253 nt
Filed under: uncultured bacterium
Lineage: Bacteria
Description: partial 16S ribosomal RNA
Rfam family: Bacterial small subunit ribosomal RNA
Source: RNAcentral